GUCCACGCCGUAAACGAUGGAUACUAGCUGUUCGGAGCAAUCUGAGUGGCUAAGCGAAAGUGAUAAGUAUCCCACCUGGGGAGUACGCACGCAAGUGUGAAACUCAAAGGAAUUGACGGGGGCCCGCACAAGCGGUGGAGCAUGUGGUUUAAUUCGAUGAUACGCGAGGAACCUUACCAGGGCUUAAAUGUAGAUUUACAGGACUGGAAACAGUUUUUUCUCGGACAAUUUACAAGGUGCUGCAUGGUUGUCGU
This 254-nucleotide ribosomal RNA is filed under the name uncultured bacterium. RNAcentral describes it as "partial 16S ribosomal RNA". It matches the Rfam family "Bacterial small subunit ribosomal RNA", at positions 793 to 1055 of the family's 1533-position model. The record is from RNAcentral.